RNAcentral lists this long non-coding RNA (1238 nucleotides) under Numida meleagris (helmeted guineafowl). RNAcentral's name for it is "lncRNA (ENSNMEG00000021548.1)". The record is from RNAcentral. Lineage: Eukaryota; Metazoa; Chordata; Aves; Galliformes; Numididae.
UCUCCCAGUGAGGUGCUCCUGUUGGCUCUGCUUCUCAGUUUUGUUGUGUCACAGUAUGUUGGGAAGGGUCUUUGGUGUGUUCUGUUCUGCUGUGUGCGGAGAACUCUGGAAACUGUGGAGCGUGCUACUGAAAUACCCAUGGCAGUUCUGUAUCUAUAUUUCUACUGAAAGAAAAUUCUGUAACUUCAAAAUGGCAUUCUUUCAGAAAUGGAAAUACACUGAUCAGCAGGAAGCCUAAGGUCCAUAAUUGCAAAGGUAAGAUUUAAUGUCAAUUUAGAGCUUGGAAAAGAAGUUAAAAUCUACGGUAGGGUAUUUUAACAGUCAAGACUGGUGAUGUCAAGGGAAAUAAUGGUGUGGUGGGCUAAAAGGGGAGGAGUUUAAUGAUAGCAUAGAUGAUUUCCAGAAAUUUGAUGAUUUUGUGUGCCUCAGUGCUCAGUUUGGACAAUGACUCUGAACUUGAAUGGGAAAAAAUUGGCUUUAUGGAAGUGAAAUUGGAAUAAUGGGAAUGAGGCAAAAAUCAAGGAGUUGUUUCUUGGGAUCUGUGUCACAGUAGUUUGAAGGAACUGACAUUUGAAACUGCAUUUGUACUUGAAGGAUAUUUUGGAAUACGUUGGAGUGGUAUGAGAAAUUUCAGACACGAUUCCUAUAUUUAAGACAGGAAAAAUUGUGAUCUAGUUAAGUGUAGGUAUAUUAGCAUGACAUCAGUAGUAUGCAAGGCUUUUGGAAAGAAGAGUAAUAGAAAACACAGUGAAUGGAAGAAGUGGGAUAACACACAGUAUCGGUUUACUGAAAGCAGAUUUACUGGAUUAUCUUGAUAAUCUUUCUUUAGAUUAUCCUGAUCUUUUUAGACAAAUAACAUGAAAAUAGAUGUGAUGUAUAUCCACUGUGAGAGAAGCAUCUGACACAGAGCUACAUGGAGAAUCGUUUGACUGGAAAAAAUGAUUAUACCCAGAAUUGUAAAAUGGGUAGGAACUGGCUAAAGGAGAUAACAGACGGUGCUGAAAGAAGAAAUACCAGGUUAGAGGGAGAUAAAAAUGGAGUUUCUGAACUCACAUUCUGGUAACCUAUAUCCCUUAAUAUUUUCAUUAAUGAGCUAGGCACAAAAAGAAUAAGAAACUGCUAGAGAAAUGUGCUGAUGGCUUAAGUUGGGAGGGAAUUGUCAAUAGCUAGGAGGCUCAGACCACACAACUAAAAUAUCCUCAAGGACUGGGGAAAUAUAAAUGGGAUUAUAUUCAACA